RNAcentral lists this ribosomal RNA (754 nucleotides) under uncultured archaeon. RNAcentral describes it as "bacterial SSU rRNA". It matches the Rfam family "Archaeal small subunit ribosomal RNA", at positions 102 to 856 of the family's 1478-position model. The record is from RNAcentral.
GGAUAACCUACCCUUAGGACCGGGAUAACCCUGGGAAACUGGGGCUAAUACUGGAUAGAUGAUUUUUCCUGCAAUGGUAUUUUGUCUAAAUGUUUUUUCGCCUAAGGAUGGGUCUGCGGCCGAUUAGGUAGUUGGUUAGGUAAUGGCUUACCAAGCCGUUUAUCGGUACGGGUUGUGAGAGCAAGAGCCCGGAGAUGGAACCUGAGACAAGGUUCCAGGCCCUACGGGGCGCAGCAGGCGCGAAACCUCCGCAAUGUGAGAAAUCGCGACGGGGGGAUCCCAAGUGCCAUUCUUAACGGGAUGGCUUUUCUUGAGUGUAAAAAGCUCUUGGAAUAAGAGCUGGGCAAGACCGGUGCCAGCCGCCGCGGUAACACCGGCAGCUCCAGUGGUAGCCAUUUUUAUUGGGCCUAAAGCGUUCGUAGCCGGUUUAAUAAGUCUCUGGUGAAAUCCCACAGCUUAACUGUGGGAAUUGCUGGAGAUACUAUUAGACUUGAGGUCGGGAGAGGUUAGAGGUACUCUCAGGGUAGGGGUGAAAUCCUGUAAUCCUGGGAGGACCACCUGUGGCGAAGGCGUCUAACUGGAACGAACCUGACGGUGAGGGACGAAAGCUAGGGGCGCGAACCGGAUUAGAUACCCGGGUAGUCCUAGCCGUAAACGAUGCGGACUUGGUGUUAGGAUGGCUUUGAGCCGCCCUAGUGCCGAAGGGAAGCUGUUAAGUCCGCCGCCUGGGAAGUACGGUCGCAAGACUGAAACU